RNAcentral lists this ribosomal RNA (265 nucleotides) under uncultured bacterium. RNAcentral's name for it is "partial 16S ribosomal RNA". It matches the Rfam family "Bacterial small subunit ribosomal RNA", at positions 524 to 787 of the family's 1533-position model. The record is from RNAcentral.
UACGUAGGGUGCAAGCGUUAAUCGGAAUUACUGGGCGUAAAGCGUGCGCAGGCGGUUCGCUAAGACAGAUGUGAAAUGCCCGGGCUUAACCUGGGAACUGCAUUUGUGACUGCAUGGCUAGAGUUUGGCAGAGGGGGGUAGAAUUCCACGUGUAGCAGUGAAAUGCGUAGAUAUGUGGAGGAACACCGAUGGCGAAGGCAGCCCCCUGGGUCAAGACUGACGCUCAUGCACGAAAGCGUGGGGAGCAAACGAGGAUUAGAGUACC